CGCGCUUGGCGUGGAUGGCGCACAGCACGUUUAUGUGUGUAUACCACGUGCAUGCAGUGAUCUUGGAGGCCAGAAGAGGGCGUCAUACGACUGGGACUAGAGUUACAGAUGAUUGUCAGCUGCCUGUCAGUUAUAGGAAUUGAACCCCUUCCUCGGGAAAGGCAGUCUCUGGAGCAUGUUCAAUCAAACUGACAUGGCUAUAGUAUGAAAAAAGACCCGAAAGUUCCUGGGGACUCUGCAGUCUACUCUUAAAGAUACACACUAGGGAGCAUUUUACCGUUCCUACACCUAGCCUCGGUGGUUUCAAAAGGUUGAGCCUAAGUACAGUAAUUCUAAACAUUGCAGAAAUGUGUAGGAAGGGGCAGGAGGCUGCUGGAAGACUGUGAAGUUGUGGAUACACACAUGGACAUUGACCAGAUCACAAUUCUCUGCACUUUGUCUCCCCCCACCCCACCGCCCAGUUACAAUUACAGGACGAUUCAGACAUUUUAUGUUACUGUCUUUUUUUUUUUCCCCUAGUAAAAAUGUACAGUUUCAACAAAAACUUCAAAACAGGGAACUGUGGAGGGCUCUGUUGAAUAGCAUGGAAUGGAUAAGGCCACAAUUGUAUUGUAUAGAAACAUACAUCCUCAUUUUUGUCUUUACUAUUGAUAUAAUCAAACAUUGAAUCACUUUUUAACUCUAGUGUUUUAACUGUGUAGCAAUGAGAGUUAUUUGUGAUUAGUGGGAUGCACAGCCUCCAAAGAGCAUAGCUGGCAAGUUGACUCUUCAGGUGGGAUCAUGGCAUCCAACCCAAGGAGCUUAGUCUAAGCCUAUGGAAGGUUUCUGGUGCAAGAGAAGAGAAUCAUGCAGGUUGUCCCCUAAUCAUCAUAUCAUGGUCAUCUUUUGUGGGUGGUUACAGCACGAAAUACAUUAAUGAAAAUGUAACAAUAAAAAGUAAGAAC
Long non-coding RNA from Microtus oregoni (creeping vole), 944 nucleotides. RefSeq lists it as uncharacterized. The record is from RefSeq and is a predicted model, not a curated record. The transcript has 4 exons. NCBI's taxonomy places the organism in Eukaryota, Metazoa, Chordata, Mammalia, Rodentia, Cricetidae.